RNAcentral lists this ribosomal RNA (561 nucleotides) under uncultured Bacteroidales bacterium. Its description in RNAcentral is "bacterial SSU rRNA". It matches the Rfam family "Bacterial small subunit ribosomal RNA", at positions 140 to 700 of the family's 1533-position model. Lineage: Bacteria; Pseudomonadati; Bacteroidota; Bacteroidia; Bacteroidales. The record is from RNAcentral.
GGGAUAGCCUUUCGAAAGAAAGAUUAAUACCCGAUGGUAUAACAUGACCUCCUGGUUUUGUUAUUAAAGAAUUUCGGUAGAGGAUGGGGAUGCGUUCCAUUAGGCAGUUGGCGGGGUAACGGCCCACCAAACCUUCGAUGGAUAGGGGUUCUGAGAGGAAGGUCCCCCACAUUGGAACUGAGACACGGUCCAAACUCCUACGGGAGGCAGCAGUGAGGAAUAUUGGUCAAUGGGCGAGAGCCUGAACCAGCCAAGUAGCGUGAAGGAUGACCGCCCUAUGGGUUGUAAACUUCUUUUAUAUGGGAAUAAAGUCUGCCACGUGUGGCAUUUUGUAUGUACCAUAUGAAUAAGGAUCGGCUAACUCCGUGCCAGCAGCCGCGGUAAUACGGAGGAUCCGAGCGUUAUCCGGAUUUAUUGGGUUUAAAGGGAGCGUAGGUGGACAUGUAAGUCAGUUGUGAAAGUUUGCGGCUCAACCGUAAAAUUGCAGUUGAUACUGCGUGUCUUGAGUACAGUAGAGGUGGGCGGAAUUCGUGGUGUAGCGGUGAAAUGCUUAGAUAUCAC